GCAGUGGUCAUUCAGUGGUAGAAUUCUCACCUUCUGUCUGGGAGACCUAGGUUCAAUUCCUGGCUAACGCA
This 71-nucleotide transfer RNA is filed under the name Loxodonta africana (African savanna elephant). It matches the Rfam family "tRNA". From Rfam's summary of the family: Transfer RNA (tRNA) molecules are approximately 80 nucleotides in length. Their secondary structure includes four short double-helical elements and three loops (D, anti-codon, and T loops). Further hydrogen bonds mediate the characteristic L-shaped molecular structure. tRNAs have two regions of fundamental functional importance: the anti-codon, which is responsible for specific mRNA codon recognition, and the 3' end, to which the tRNAs corresponding amino acid is attached (by aminoacyl-tRNA synthetases). tRNAs cope with the degeneracy of the genetic code in two manners: having more than one tRNA (with a specific anti-codon) for a particular amino acid; and 'wobble' base-pairing, i.e. permitting non-standard base-pairing at the 3rd anti-codon position. Lineage: Eukaryota; Metazoa; Chordata; Mammalia; Proboscidea; Elephantidae. The record is from Rfam by way of RNAcentral.